UGAAGUGUGGAAUCAAAACCAGUUGCUCUGUAAAAGCAGAGAGCAGGAUGGUGGUUCCCAGGAGCUCGGGGUUUAGGAGAACAGGAGCUGUUACCCAAAGAGUACAAAACUUCAGUGAUGCAGCAUGAGUCAUUUCUGGACAUCUGUCCUACAACUGGGUCCCGACAGUGAAUAACACUCUGUUGUUUGCUUAAAUUUGCUGCUCUGUGAGCUGGGGUUAUGGCUCAGUUGCAGAGCAUUUGCUGGGCACAUGUGAGGUCCUGGGUUCGAUCCUUAGCACCACACAAAAAUAAAUAAAAGAAAUGUAUUGUGUCCAACUACAACUAAAAUUUUUUUAAAUUGUUGUGCUUGAAAGUGUUCUCAUUACACACCCACAAACACAAACACACACAGACACACACACAUAUAUGAGUGGGUGGAUAUGUUAAUUAGCUUGAUUACAGUAAUCAUCAUUGUACAAGAUACAUGUAUAUCACAUGGUGCUUUUAUUUUAUUUUUAAGCAGUUGUUAUUAUAUUAAGUUAUUAAGACAAGUACAAAAUAACCUUGUAAUCAGGAUACUGUAUCAGUCACUGAAAGAGUGGCAUCCAGUA
Molecule: long non-coding RNA, 592 nt
Filed under: Marmota monax (woodchuck)
Lineage: Eukaryota; Metazoa; Chordata; Mammalia; Rodentia; Sciuridae
Source: RNAcentral